AGAGUUUGAUCAUGGCUCAGGAUGAACGCUAGCGGCAGGCUUAAUACAUGCAAGUCGAGGGGUAACAUGGGUAGCAAUACCUGAUGACGACCGGCAAACGGGUGCGGAACACGUACGCAACCUUCCCAUAACUGGUGAAUAGCCCUCCGAAAGGAGGAUUAAUACACCGUAACAUAAUGAAGUGGCAUCACUUUAUUAUUAUAGGCUUCGGCCGGUUUUGGAUGGGCGUGCGCCUGAUUAGGUAGUUGGCGGGGUAACGGCCCACCAAGCCUGCGAUCAGUAACUGGUGUGAGAGCACGACCAGUCACACGGGCACUGAGACACGGGCCCGACUCCUACGGGAGGCAGCAGUAAGGAAUAUUGGUCAAUGGACGAAAGUCUGAACCAGCCAUGCCGCGUGAAGGAUUAAGGCCCUCUGGGUUGUAAACUUCUUUUAUAUGGGACGAAAAAAGGGUAUUCUUACUCACUUGACGGUACCAUAGGAAUAAGCACCGGCUAACUCCGUGCCAGCAGCCGCGGUAAUACGGAGGGUGCAAGCGUUAUCCGGAUUUACUGGGUUUAAAGGGUGCGUAGGUGGGCAGUUAAGUCAGUGGUGAAAUCUCCGAGCUUAACUCGGAAACUGCCAUUGAUACUAUCUGUCUUGAAUUAUCUGGAGGUGAGCGGAAUAUGUCAUGUAGCGGUGAAAUGCUUAGAUAUGACAUAGAACACCAAUUGCGAAGGCAGCUCACUACGGGUAUAUUGACACUGAGGCACGAAAGCGUGGGGAUCAAACAGGAUUAGAUACCCUAGUAGUCC
This 795-nucleotide ribosomal RNA is filed under the name uncultured bacterium. Its description in RNAcentral is "bacterial SSU rRNA". It matches the Rfam family "Bacterial small subunit ribosomal RNA", at positions 8 to 796 of the family's 1533-position model. The record is from RNAcentral.